AACUAUAACGGUCCUAAGGUAGCGAAAUUCCUUGUCAGGUAAGUUCUGACCCGCAUGAAAGGCGUAAUGAUUUGGGCACUGUCUCAACAGCCCGCCCGGCGAAAUUGUAGUACCGGUGAAGAUGCCGGUUACCCGCGACAAGACGGAAAGACCCCAUGGAGCUUUACUGUAGCCUAAUAUUGGGUUUCGAUGUUGCAUGCACAGGAUAGAUGGGACACAGGGAAACAAGUGCUUUGGCAUUUGUGGAGUGGCCGUUGGGAUACCAUCCUUGCGAUAUUGGAAUUCUAACCUGCGCCUUUGAAUCAAGGCGGGGGACAUUGUUAGGUGGGCAGUUUGACUGGGGCGGUCGCCUCCUAAAGAGUAACGGAGGCGUUCAAAGGUUCGCUCAGCUUGAACGGAAAUCAAGCAAAAGAGUGCAAACGCAGAAGCGAGCCUAACUGCGAGACUGACGGGUCGAGCAGUAACGAAAGUUGGAGUUAGUGAUCCGGUGGUAUGUGAGUGGAAAUGCCAUCGCUCAACGGAUAAAAGUUACCCUGGGGAUAACAGGCUGAUCUCCCCCAAGAGUCCACAUCGACGGGGAGGUUUGGCACCUCGAUGUCGGCUCAUCGCAUCCUGGGGCUGAAUUCGGUCCCAAGGGUUUGGCUGUUCGCCAAUUAAAGCGGCACGCGAGCUGGGUUCAGAACGUCGUGAGACAGUUCGGUCCCUAUCUGUUGCGGGCGUAAGAGAUUUGAAGGGAGCUGUCCUUAGUACGAGAGGACCGGGAUGGACGUACCUCUGGUGCACCAGUUGUCCUGCCAAGGGCAUAGCUGGGUAGCUAUGUACGGACGAGAUAAACGCUGAAAGCAUCUAAGCGUGAAACUCCCCCUAAGAUGAGAUCUCUCAUCCUUCAAGGAGUAAGGACCCAGAAAGACGAUCUGGUUGAUAGGCCGAAGGUGGAAGCGCAGUAAUGUGUGCAGCUGAUCGGUACUAAUAGUCCGAGGGCUUGACCUA
Molecule: ribosomal RNA, 990 nt
Filed under: human gut metagenome
Description: bacterial LSU rRNA
Rfam family: Bacterial large subunit ribosomal RNA
Source: RNAcentral